RNAcentral lists this ribosomal RNA (422 nucleotides) under uncultured bacterium. RNAcentral's name for it is "bacterial SSU rRNA". It matches the Rfam family "Bacterial small subunit ribosomal RNA", at positions 359 to 773 of the family's 1533-position model. The record is from RNAcentral.
GAAUAUUGGACAAUGGGCGCAAGCCUGAUCCAGCAAUGCCGCGUGAGUGAAGAAGGCCUUCGGGUUGUAAAGCUCUUUUGUAGGGGAGGAAGGAAGUUUACUGAAUAAGUGAGCUUUUUGACGUUACCCUAAGAAUAAGCACCGGCUAACUCCGUGCCAGCAGCCGCGGUAAUACGGAGGGUGCAAGCGUUAUCCGGAUUUACUGGGUUUAAAGGGUGUGUAGGCGGAUAUUUAAGUCAGAGGUGAAAUCUCCGGGCUCAACCCGGAAACUGCCUUUGAUACUAUUUAUCUUGAAUUUCGUUGAGGUUGGCGGAAUAUAUCAUGUAGCGGUGAAAUGCAUAGAUAUGAUAUAGAACACCGAUUGCGUAGGCAGCUGGCUGAACGAACAUUGACGCUGAGGCACGAAAGCGUGGGUAGCGAAC